AAUCAACGCUGGCGGCGUGCCUCAGACAUGCAAGUCGAACGAUUAAAGCUCUCUUCGGAGAGUGUAUAGAGUGGCGCACGGGUGAGUAACACGUAAGUAAUCUACCCUCGAGUGGGGAAUAACAACCGGAAACGGUUGCUAAUACCGCAUAAUGCAGCGGCACCGCAAGGUGACAGUUGUUAAAGAUUUAUCGCUUGAGGAGGAGCUUGCGGCAGAUUAGCUAGUUGGUAGGGUAACGGCUUACCAAGGCUACGAUCUGUAACCGGUCUAAGAGGACGGUCGGUCACACUGACACUGAAUAACGGGUCAGACUCCUACGGGAGGCAGCAGUCGGGAAUUUUGGGCAAUGGGCGAAAGCCUGACCCAGCGACGCCGCGUGAAGGAUGAAGUAUUUCGGUAUGUAAACUUCGAAAGAAUAGGAAGAAUUAAUGACGGUACUAUUUAUAAGGUCCGGCUAACUACGUGCCAGCAGCCGCGGUAAU
RNAcentral lists this ribosomal RNA (482 nucleotides) under uncultured bacterium. RNAcentral describes it as "bacterial SSU rRNA". It matches the Rfam family "Bacterial small subunit ribosomal RNA", at positions 32 to 524 of the family's 1533-position model. The record is from RNAcentral.